RNAcentral lists this transfer RNA (78 nucleotides) under Bacteroidetes bacterium HLUCCA01. RNAcentral describes it as "tRNA-Val". It matches the Rfam family "tRNA". Rfam says of the family: Transfer RNA (tRNA) molecules are approximately 80 nucleotides in length. Their secondary structure includes four short double-helical elements and three loops (D, anti-codon, and T loops). The record is from RNAcentral. Lineage: Bacteria; Pseudomonadati; Bacteroidota.
GGGCGCAUAGCUCAGUUGGUUUAGAGCACCUGCCUUACAAGCAGGGGGUCGGGGGUUCGAGUCCCUCUGCGCCCACCC